CUCAUUUUGAGGCAUUCAACUCGGAUUUUGGUCCUCGGUGUAAAAAGUUUGGACACCCCCUCCGAUCUAGAGCAGACAUUCCCAGUGUUGAUCAAGUUUUGCUCUAAUUUUGUGUUCGAUGAAAAACCUUCUCAAUCGGAGUUGUUAUGCAACACGAAGCUCUCAUCACCGGGAGGCAGUGGCGUGACUCAGGUCGUCAGCAAUGCUUUGCCAUUCCGCGGCGGCGCCGCCCGUGAUGGACAGGCCACUGCCAGGAGGUAGAUUCAAGGCAGCGAGGACGAGAAAAGACAGCGAACGAGAUGGAUGUUUGUGCCCGUAGGUUCGAUAUGAUGAAGCUUUUAAUAUUCUAACGAGGCAAAUGUCGGCUAAAAAGGCUCUCACAAAGCAAAGCUACUGUUUUUUUGCCACCCAUUUUGACAUGCUGCUUGUUACUGUUUAAAUCUGGAAACUUCACACAUGACAUGCCUUCCAUAGCCUAAGAACAGGCAGACCAGCUCCGUUAACUAAAUGAAACCUGGAUA
Poecilia reticulata (guppy) is the source of this 521-nucleotide non-coding RNA. Lineage: Eukaryota; Metazoa; Chordata; Actinopteri; Cyprinodontiformes; Poeciliidae. The record is from RefSeq and is a predicted model, not a curated record.